AGACAGCAGUAGCCGCGGGAAUACAGAGGGUGCAAGCGUUAAUCUGAAUUACUGGGCGUAAAGCGCGCGUAGGUGGUUUGUUAAGUUGGAUGUGAAAUCCCCGGGCUCAACCUGGGAACUGCAUCCAAAACUGGCAAGCUAGAGUAUGGUAUAGGGUGGUGGAAUUUCCUGUGUAGCGGUGAAAUGCGUAGAUAUAGGAAGGAACACCAGUGGCGAAGGCGACCACCUGGACUGAUACUGACACUGAGGUGCGAAAGCGUGGGGAGCAAACAGGAUUAGAUACCCGUGUAGUCCCUGUCUCUUAUAC
Molecule: ribosomal RNA, 307 nt
Filed under: uncultured bacterium
Lineage: Bacteria
Description: partial 16S ribosomal RNA
Rfam family: Bacterial small subunit ribosomal RNA
Source: RNAcentral